UUUAUAUAUAAAUUUUAUAGAAUUUAAAUCUUAGAUUUUUGAGAUAUGGAAAAAAUAGUAUUUAGAUGCUUGUAAAUUAGGAUUCAUAGCACCUAUUAGGAUUUUUAAGAUGCUAGACGAUUUGUAGUAGAUUUAUAGUUUAUUUUUUUGGUAGUAAAAUUUAAGGAUAAAUUCUACAUCAUGUAUUAAUUUGAGAAAAAUUGAACCAUUGAUUUAAAAAAAUAUGAAUUUCUAAAUUUCAGAGAAAAAAAAA
Molecule: long non-coding RNA, 253 nt
Filed under: Physcomitrium patens
Lineage: Eukaryota; Viridiplantae; Streptophyta; Bryopsida; Funariales; Funariaceae
Description: long non-coding RNA (PPAT_LNC000265)
Source: RNAcentral